Molecule: long non-coding RNA, 1224 nt
Organism: Cyprinus carpio (common carp)
Lineage: Eukaryota; Metazoa; Chordata; Actinopteri; Cypriniformes; Cyprinidae
Exons: 3
Source: RefSeq, a predicted model, not a curated record
GGCUGCUGGGAAAUGUAGUCUUCCCAUUCACCUUAGGCCUCCAUAUGCAAAAGAGUCAUGUGAGGUCAGGAGUGUGGUGUAUGCAAUUAUGGUGGCUCAUUGGGCAGCACUACCAUUAAGAGUGGAGAACCCGGUGGCCCCGGCCCAGUCUAGAGCCGAGAGAGAGACUCAUUAGUAUAGCUCCACUCAGCUGCCCUCACAGCUCACCUGUCAGUGAGGCAGAUGGACGGUAAUGGCUUGUGUUUGUAGCUGUGGAAGCAAGAGUGGGUGUAAAUGUAUGUGUCUAUAUGUGUGUCUAUAGGUGUAUGUCUGUGUGGCUGUUCUUCCUUUCUGUUUCCCCUGCAGCUGUCUCUCUUAGAGAGGUGGGAAAGGAGCAGUGGAGCACGAUGUCUCCUCGCUGUUGCAGGAACUUCAAUGCGACCGCCACAGCCACAAUUGCACACCAGCCUGAUUAGCUGUGUUUAUCUGCGAAGGACACAGCGAUGGAGAAGCUGAUCUUUGAACUUUCAUUGUGGCAGAAACCUCAGGGGAGCAUCAGGAUCAAUCUCAGCUGGACAGGAGAUGAAGGUUACGCUGUCCUGGCCUGUGCUGAGCUGAUGGGUGAAAAGAUUCCCCUCUGGGCCUUCCUGGUUUACAAUAGCCAUUCGGUGGAGCAAAGCCAACACAUCGAUCUCUCGCCUACGGAUUAUAUACAAAGGCACCAAUCAGUGUGGAAUGUUGAACGGGAAAAUAUGCUCCUUUUUGCUCUCUACUCCAUGUGGCUUCAUUAAGCUGGUCACAGUGCAUUUCCACUCAUUUUUUGAAGCACUACUCCUUGUGUGAGUGGAACUGGCUAUGACAAUGGCACAUAAAACAUUACCACAUAAAACAACACCUGUGAGGGUGCAGGGCAUUGUGAUAAAGCACCAUAAUCUCCACAAGGACAGCACUGAUAUUUGGGGCACAUAAGCAUGAUAAUGGGAUGCAUAAAUGUCAUAAGGUGACCUCUUCAAACUGAGGGCCGAUUAUCCUUCUGGAUGUGUCAUAUUGUUCUGGUGCACUUAGAUAUGUUGCUCUCCUGUGGGCUGUUCGGCUUUUCAUGUCCUUUUCACAUGAUAAAGGAAUGUGCUUAAAACAAACGCUCAUUCAGACUACACCGGUGAACUCUGAAUAAAUUUAAAAAGGAAGAGAGAGAACAGGAAAGAGAGAGAGGUGGAUUGAAGAGAUGGUUUAACAAAUGAUCAA